This 405-nucleotide ribosomal RNA is filed under the name uncultured beta proteobacterium. Its description in RNAcentral is "bacterial SSU rRNA". It matches the Rfam family "Bacterial small subunit ribosomal RNA", at positions 9 to 416 of the family's 1533-position model. The record is from RNAcentral. Lineage: Bacteria; Pseudomonadati; Pseudomonadota; Betaproteobacteria.
GAGUUUGAUCAUGGCUCAGAUUGAACGCUGGCGGCAUGCUUUACACAUGCAAGUCGAACGGCAGCACGGGGGCAACCCUGGUGGCGAGUGGCGAACGGGUGAGUAACGCAUCGGAACAUGCCCAGUAGUGGGGGAUAACACAUCGAAAGAUGUGCUAAUACCGCAUACGCACUGAGGUGGAAAGCGGGGGAUCGCAAGACCUCGCGCUAUUGGAGUGGCCGAUGUCCGAUUAGCUAGUUGGUGGGGUAAUGGCCUACCAAGGCGACGAUCGGUAGCUGGUCUGAGAGGAUGAUCAACCACACUGGGACUGAGACACGGCCCAGACUCCUACGGGAGGCAGCAGUGGGGAAUUUUGGACAAUGGGCGCAAGCCUGAUCCAGCCAUGCCGCGUGAGUGAAGAAGGCC